This 330-nucleotide long non-coding RNA is filed under the name Homo sapiens (human). RNAcentral describes it as "non-protein coding lnc-ADIPOQ-1:1". The record is from RNAcentral. Lineage: Eukaryota; Metazoa; Chordata; Mammalia; Primates; Hominidae.
AAGGCUGCUCCAGCAGGGAGUUUAGCUCCAUGGACACCUUUGAAGGCUAUGAAGGUGCAGAAGACAUGGAAAAGGUGAGCAGCGCUCUGAACCUCGCGGGGCCUUUUCCAGUUGGAUGACAGUCACGAAACCUGUUCCUCCAAAUCCGCUUUCCUGGAGAGGAGAGAAAGCACCCAGGGAGAAAAAGAAGAACGCGAUGAGGAAGCAACGGCGACCGGCAGCACCAAGAAGGAGCGUGCUGGGGCGUCCACGCCGGCUGACUCCUGCGGGGGCGACGGCUGGUUUCCAGGCGAGGGCGCGGCGCCCGAGGACCUCCACCCCGGAGAGCUG